Molecule: long non-coding RNA, 2810 nt
Organism: Aedes albopictus (Asian tiger mosquito)
Lineage: Eukaryota; Metazoa; Arthropoda; Insecta; Diptera; Culicidae
Exons: 2
Source: RefSeq, a predicted model, not a curated record
UUGAGCGCCAUGUGUGGCAUAUUUUGGAAGGUAUCAAAGUUCAUGCCAAAAAGGGUACUAUUGGAUAUGUACCAUGCAUUCAUUCAAUCAAAACUACAAUACCUGGUAUCGAUUUGGGGUGCCGCGACCAAAACUGCAUUGAAACCGUUGCAAACGAUUCAGAAUCGUUGUCUGAAAAUAAUAUACCAACGCCCCUGGCUUUUCCCAACCGUGUUGUUAUACAACGGAGCAGCGGAAUCAAUCUUGCCAAUCCCGGCCCUCCGUGAAAAGGAGUGUCUGGUAAAAAUGCACAAUAUGUUAACAAACCCACGUGCCUUACACAAUCAACCGCUACAUAGAACGUCAAGCCGAUACCCUCUGAGAAGCCAAGCAGUUCUAACGAUCAACCGUCCUAAUACGGAAGCUGGAAAAAAAUCUUUCUUGUAUUUUGGAAGUUCUCGAUACAAUGCUCUCCCUUCUCAUUUAAAAGCCGAGAGGAAUAUGGGAAACUUCAAGAAGCGGAUUGCAUCACUGAUAAAAGGAAGAAUCAUAACAUACAUAGGUUGACCACCAACCACUUUAUUGUCUCAUCAUCAAUAUUCCGUCAUAUCGCUGCCAACUGAACAUGGGGUCAGUUAUCAUCCAGUCCGUCUUCCAGUCUGUCUUGCCACCUCCGCAUCCAACAAUCACAUCACUCGGUUCGCGGCCGUUCAAGUAUCGGGCCUCGAACAUCACCGAACAUGGUGACUCGGUCAGCUGGUAGCAUCAGUUAUCUUCCAGUCCUGCCACCCUUGCAUCCAACAACCGCAACACUCGAUUCGCGGCCGUUCAAGUUUCGAACAUCACCGAUUCCUGCGAUUUUCCGUACCUGGUGACUCGGUCAGCUAGUAGCGUCAGUUAUCUUCCAGCCCUGCCACCUUUGCAUCCAACAACCGCAACACACGACUCGCGGCCGUUCAAGUUUCGGGCCUCGAACAUCACCGAUCAGCGAUUCCUGCGAUUUCCCGUACCUGGUGACUCGGUCAGCUAGUUGCGUCAGUUAUCUUCCAGGUAACAUGAUUAGUAUACGUCUGGCCGAAGCCAGUGAUACUGCCCUCGUUCAAGUCCGUCGAAAAUUACAGCCCUGCCACCCCUGCAUCCAACAACCGCAACACUCGAUUCGCGGCCGUUCAAGUUUUGAACAUCACCGAUUCCUGCGAUUUACCGUGCCUGGUGACUCGGUCAGCUAGUAGCGUCAGUUAUCUUCCAGGUAACAUGAUUAGUAUACGUCUGGCCGAAGCCAGUGAUACUGCCCUCGUUCAAGUCCGUCGACAAUUACAGCCACCUUUGCAUCCAACAACCGCAACACACGACUCGCGGCCGUUCAAGAUUCGGGCCUCGAACAUCACCGAUCAGCGAUUCCUGCGACUUCCCGUACCUGGUGACUCGGUCAGCUAGUAGCCUCAGUUAUCUUCCAGCCCUGCCACCUUUGCAUCCAACAACCGCAACACACGACUCGCGGCCGUUCAAGUUUCGGGCCUCGAACAUCACCGAUCAGCGAUUCCUGCGAUUUCCCGUACCUGGUGACUCGGUCAGCUAGUUGCGUCAGUUAUCUUCCAGGUAACAUGAUUAGUAUACGUCUGGCCGAAGCCAGUGAUACUGCCCUCGUUCAAGUCCGUCGACAAUUACAGCCCUGCCACCUUUGAAUCCAACAACCGCAACACACGACUCGCGGCCGUUCAAGAUUCGGGCCUCGAACAUCACCGAUCAGCGAUUCCUGCGACUUCCCGUACCUGGUGACUCGGUCAGCUAGUAGCCUCAGUUAUCUUCCAGUCCGUCGAAAAUUACAGCCCUGCCACCUUUGCAUCCAACAAUCGCAACACACGACUCGCGGCCGUUCAAGUUUCGGGCCUCGAACGUCACCGAUCAGCGAUUCCUGCGACUUCCCGUACCUGGUGACUCGGUCAGCUAGUAGCGUCAGUUAUCUUCCAGGUAACAUGAUUAGUAUACGUCUGGCCGAAGCCAGUGAUACUGCCCUCGUUCAAGUCCGUCGAAAAUUACAGCCCUGCCACCUUUGCAUCCAACAACCGCAACACACGACUCGCGGCCGUUCAAGUUUCGGGCCUCGAACAUCACCGAUCAGCGAUUCCUGCGACUUCCCGUACCUGGUGACUCGGUCAGCUAGUAGCCUCAGUUAUCUUCCAGUCCUGCCACCCCUGCAUCCAACAACCGCAACACUCGAUUCGCGGCCGUUCAAGUUUUGAACAUCACCGAUUCCUGCGACUUCCCGUACCUGGUGACUCGGUCAGCUGGUAGCAUCAGUUAUCUUCCAGGUAACAUGAUUAGUAUAUGUCUGGCCGAAGCCAGUGAUACUGCGCCCGUUUAAGUUCGUUUACAAUUACAGCCCUCCCACCUUCUGUCUACACCAACCCCAUCAUUCAAAUGUUUCGAGGUCCUGGAUAACGAGCGCGAUAAAUCCGUGCUACCAAAUCAGCUAACAUCAACAGCAUUCCGUCACAUUGUUACCAGUUGUUACUGAGGCUUUAUUGGAACUGAUGUCCUGGUCUGCGUCUGGUCAACGUUUCUACGACAAUUUCAUUGUGACUGCGCCGUGGCUUCCUGUAUACAAAGUUUUUCCGAUGUAAUGCUAAGCUGCCGCUAUUGAUCUAGGAAUGCUUACUAACCAAAUCCAUGAUGAAUUAAAGCGAUUAUUGUACGUGAUAUACUAAUAUUAGCCAAUAAGUUGUAAAUUUUCUGUUAAUUAAUUUAAUUACACUUCCUUUAAAGAGAAUAACUUCUCACUGGAAGUGUAAAUACUUUGUACUUUUUUGAAAUAUAUGAAAAGAAGAGUA